UGCAGUCGAGCGCUACCUUCGGGUGGAGCGGCGGACGGGUUAGUAACGCGUGGGAACGUACCCAGAUCUAAGGAAUAGCCACUGGAAACGGUGAGUAAUACCUUAUACGCCCUUCGGGGGAAAGAUUUAUCGGAUUUGGAUCGGCCCGCGUUAGAUUAGAUAGUUGGUGGGGUAAUGGCCUACCAAGUCUACGAUCUAUAGCUGGUUUUAGAGGAUGAUCAGCAACACUGGGACUGAGACACGGCCCAGACUCCUACGGGAGGCAGCAGUGGGGAAUCUUGGACAAUGGGCGCAAGCCUGAUCCAGCCAUGCCGCGUGAGUGAUGAAGGCCUUAGGGUCGUAAAGCUCUUUCGCCAGAGAUGAUAAUGACAGUAUCUGGUAAAGAAACCCCGGCUAACUCCGUGCCAGCAGCCGCGGUAAUACGGAGGGGGUUAGCGUUGUUCGGAAUUACUGGGCGUAAAGCGUACGUAGGCGGAUUAGUCAGUCAGAGGUGAAAUCCCAGGGCUCAACCCUGGAACUGCCUUUGAUACUGCUAGUCUUGAGUUCGAGAGAGGUGAGUGGAAUUCCAAGUGUAGAGGUGAAAUUCGUAGAUAUUUGGAGGAACACCAGUGGCGAAGGCGGCUCACUGGCUCGAUACUGACGCUGAGGUACGAAAGUGUGGGGAGCAAACAGGAUUAGAUACCCUGGGUAGUCCACACCGUAAACGAUGAAUGCC
This 715-nucleotide ribosomal RNA is filed under the name Lentibacter sp. Its description in RNAcentral is "bacterial SSU rRNA". It matches the Rfam family "Bacterial small subunit ribosomal RNA", at positions 56 to 817 of the family's 1533-position model. Lineage: Bacteria; Pseudomonadati; Pseudomonadota; Alphaproteobacteria; Rhodobacterales; Roseobacteraceae. The record is from RNAcentral.